GUCUAUGGCCAUGUAGCCCUGAACAUGCCGAUCCCCUCUGAUCUUGGAAGCUAAGCGGGGUCAGGCCUGCUUAGUACUUGGAGGAGAGCGGCCACCUCAGAGAGCUGUUCUCUGAAGGCU
RNAcentral lists this ribosomal RNA (120 nucleotides) under Echinops telfairi (small Madagascar hedgehog). Lineage: Eukaryota; Metazoa; Chordata; Mammalia; Afrosoricida; Tenrecidae. The record is from RNAcentral.